RNAcentral lists this transfer RNA (103 nucleotides) under Thermoplasmatota archaeon. RNAcentral describes it as "tRNA-Arg". The record is from RNAcentral. Lineage: Archaea; Methanobacteriati; Thermoplasmatota.
GGGCUCGUGGUGUAGCUAUCCUGUUCCAUCAGGGACGGGGCUACAAUGGAUAUCACCGGGGCUUCCGGAGCCCCAAACCCGGGUUCGAAUCCCGGCGAGUCCG